CAGGAAGCUGCUGAUCACCAGCUUCAGGUGUUUCUAUUUAUUGGGAGACUGUCUUUCCCUGGCACCAGCUGCAACCAAUGAUUACUUUAGAGAGACAGUUUAACAACUGCCUGACCAUCACCUGAUGGUCAUCUGACAUUCCCAAUAAGAGCCCAGGCCAAAGGACACCUUGAUUUUGACCUUGUCAGACCUGGAGUUGAAAAACCAGCUGCACCCUUCUAGAAUUCUUACUUACAAAACUGGAGAUGUUACAAGACAAGAUGAUUUCACUGGAAGCUGAGUUUUGCCAGCUUUGGGGAAAUGCUGAUGCAGAACAUCAUUUAUUUAAGGCUGAUACUCAUGGAUAGAAGAGUCAAAGUGCGAAUAUAUGCACCCUUCUAUACGGAUUCUGCAGAAAGAUAUGCUUGGGUCAUGACUCAGACAAUUUGGAGAGAAUUCCCUGAAACAUUCACUGUACAACUCUACUUUCUUGAAUACUUACUAUAAUUAAAGUUCAUUUCUGAUUUACAUAAAGA
This 515-nucleotide long non-coding RNA is filed under the name Homo sapiens (human). Its description in RNAcentral is "long intergenic non-protein coding RNA 1378". The record is from RNAcentral. Lineage: Eukaryota; Metazoa; Chordata; Mammalia; Primates; Hominidae.